GUGAAUCAUCGAAUCUUUGAACGCAAAUUGCACUCGCUGGUAUUCCGGAGAGUAUGCCUGUUUGAGGGUCAGUUUAAAUAAAAAUCGGUGUGGGUGCUGCCGUUCUGGGUCUCGCACCGGGUUUGGGUCGUCUGUCGUUCGGUUAAUUGACCUAAAAUGUUGAGUGAUUUUUUCGAACGUAUGUAAAUGAGUUUGCGUACUUUUGCGAUAUCGAAUACUAGGUGUGGGCAUCCUCAUGAGU
RNAcentral lists this unclassified non-coding RNA (241 nucleotides) under Glomeraceae sp. Its description in RNAcentral is "partial contains 5.8S ribosomal RNA and internal transcribed spacer 2". The stretch from base 1 to 71 matches the Rfam family "5.8S ribosomal RNA", at positions 84 to 154 of the family's 154-position model. Lineage: Eukaryota; Fungi; Glomeromycota; Glomeromycetes; Glomerales; Glomeraceae. The record is from RNAcentral.